UUAAGGAUGAGGUUAGUGGACAUGGCAUCUGCCCGGUGCGCGGAACACUGUGGGUUCGAUUCCCAUUCCUGGAC
This 74-nucleotide transfer RNA is filed under the name Cordylochernes scorpioides. RNAcentral describes it as "tRNA-Thr". Lineage: Eukaryota; Metazoa; Arthropoda; Arachnida; Pseudoscorpiones; Chernetidae. The record is from RNAcentral.